This is a long non-coding RNA of Bubalus bubalis (water buffalo), 562 nucleotides long. RefSeq lists it as uncharacterized. The transcript is spliced from 4 exons. NCBI's taxonomy places the organism in Eukaryota, Metazoa, Chordata, Mammalia, Artiodactyla, Bovidae. The record is from RefSeq and is a predicted model, not a curated record.
UGUGGCCUGACCAUUUGCAGCCAAGUUUGCGAAUUACUUCCCUAAGAGAACCUGGCUCUUCCCUGAAGACCCCACUUCUCUAAGGGCCCUCAGAAGAAGUGGGUGAUUCCUGAGCAUGUAACUACAAUCAGACUCCACCUUGGAAGAGGCAAAGAAAUGACACAAUCAAAAUAGCAAAACCUCUGAACACCUGGACAGAACAGAACUUCUCUCCCAAGAAAGUCCUCAAGGAAACAUGUGAACAAGUUAUAACAGGCCCUUGAUCAGGAAAUGUUUAACAUGGGAGUAAGUAUUGCCAGGGAUUAGUGGCUGCUGCUUGGAAAGGUUGAUGGAAGUUCUUUCCUGCCAGUACAAAAAUAUACAUCAUCAAAGCGCAAGACUGUGUCCACAGACAGGAUUACAUGUGAGCUGAAAAGACCCAGAUGGUUUGGAGACAAAUAGCUCUCUGUUGACAGCCACGUGACUUGAGUCUCUCUGAGCCCUUCCUGUGUUUUGAGACUGGUCUAUGACUGGUUGACGUGAUGCUUAUGAAGUCAGAUUUCAAAUCCCAAGUGAGCCCGUC